UGGCUUUAUAGAGCCUGCAUUGUACACACUGUGUGUGCACCUCAGACUUGCACAGCGCAUACAAUGUGGAUGCUAUAUGAGUC
MicroRNA precursor from Xenopus tropicalis (tropical clawed frog), 83 nucleotides. Ensembl annotates it as xtr-mir-460a. Its record names the gene xtr-mir-460a. Lineage: Eukaryota; Metazoa; Chordata; Amphibia; Anura; Pipidae. The record is from Ensembl.